GCCGCUGGCCUUACAGCCAUUGCAGGUGUGGCUGCUGGGUCACACGUGUGUCAGCAGGUAGCGGAGGGGAGAGAGGCUAUGUCUCAGUGUUCUGACCUGUGAAUAUCUGAGGAAAGCUGACAGU
RNAcentral lists this small nucleolar RNA (124 nucleotides) under Meriones unguiculatus (Mongolian gerbil). RNAcentral's name for it is "Small nucleolar RNA SNORA17 (ENSMUGG00000005948.1)". It matches the Rfam family "Small nucleolar RNA SNORA17". Rfam says of the family: snoRNA ACA 17 belongs to the H/ACA family of snoRNAs and is predicted to guide pseudouridylation of the 28S rRNA at positions U4659 and U4598. The record is from RNAcentral. Lineage: Eukaryota; Metazoa; Chordata; Mammalia; Rodentia; Muridae.